UCCUCCAGCUGGUAUAAUAAUAACUCCACUACCAUAGACGUCCCCUCCUCCAGCUGGUAUAAUAAUAACUCCACUACCAUAGACGUCCCCUCCUCCAGCUGGUAUAAUAAUAACUCCACUACCAUAGACGUCCCCUCCUCCAGCUCCCACAGAGUAGGAGUGUAUCUGGACUGGCCAGCCGGCACUCUGUCCUUCUAUAGAGCCUCCUCUGACACACUGACCCACCUGAUCACAUUCACCUCCACAUUCACUGAGCCCCUCUAUCCAGGAUUUGGGAUUUAUAAUGUUGGCGACUCAGUGUCCCUGAAAUAAUAACUGGACACACACACACACACACACACUGGACACACACACACACUGGACACACACAUAAAUACACACUGGACACACACACUCAACACACACACACUGGACACACACAUACACACUGGACACACACACACUGAACACACACACACUGGACACACACAUACACACACACACUCACUGGACACACAUACACACACACACUCACUGGACACACAUACACACACACACUCACUGGACACACACACACACACACACUGAAACACACACACACUGGCCACCCACUUAAACUGGACAAACACAAACACUGGAAUGACAUACACACACUCACUCAAACGGACAUACAAACGCACUGGAAACACACUGGACACACACACACACUGGACACACACAAACACACUGGACACACACACACACACACACACACACUGGACCCACUGGAUAAACACACACACACUGGAUAAACACACACACACUGGAUAAACACACACACACUGGACACACACACUCACUGGACACACACGCUUGACACACACACACGCUUGACACACACACUGGAUACACACACACAAACACACUGGAUACACACACACACACACACACACACACACACACACACACACUGGAUACACACACACACACACACACACUGGAUACACACACACACACACACACACUGGAUACACACACACACACACACACACACAAACACUGGAUACACACACACACAAACACACUGGAUACACACACACACACACACACACACACACACACACCCUGGAUACACACACACACACACACACACUGGAUACACACACACACACACACAAACACACUGGAUACACACACACACACACACACACACACACAAACACACUGAACACACACACACACACACUGGAUACACACACACACACACACUGGAUACACACACACACACACACAAACACACUGGAUACACACACACACACACACACACACACAACACACUGGAUACACACACACACACAAACACACUGAACACACACACACUGACACACAUAAACACUGAAACACACAAUUGACAAACACACACUGGACACUCACACGUGUUAAAUCAGUUUCUGGACCACAGGUUCUAGAACAGCUUCUAUCCCAGUUCUACCUGCCUGUUAAAUCAGUUUCUGGACCACAGGUUCUAGAACAGCUUCUAUCCCAGUUCUACCUGCCUGUUAAAUCAGUUUCUGGACCACAGGUUCUAGAACAGCUUCUAUCCCAGUUCUAUCUGUCUGUUAAAUCAGUUUCUGGACCACAGGUUCUAGAACAGAUUCUAUCCCAGUUCUAUCUGCCUGUUAAAUCAGUUUCUGGACCACAGGUUCUAGAACAGCUUCUAUCCCAGUUCUAUCUGUCUGUUAAAUCAGUUUCUGGACCACAGGUUCUAGAACAGCUUCUAUCCCAGUUCUAUCUGCCUGUUAAAUCAUCAACCUAAACUGUUGUCAUCAGACUAUUACAACAUGACUGAACUUUUGGUUCCUUUUCUGAUCUUUUACCACUUUGCAUUUUUUAUGAUAUAUUUUACUGUUUGUGUUUGUACCACAGGAGGUUGGUGGGACCUUAUUUAGGGAGGACAGGCUUGUAAUGGCUGGAGUGGAAUAAGUGGAAUGGUAUCAAACACGUUUCCAUGUGUUCCAUUUCAUUCACUCUGUUCCAGACAUUAUUAUGAGCCGUCCUCCCCUCAGCAGCCUCCUCUGGUAUGUACUGUCCUGUAUGUGACAGAGAUCCAACAAGGAAUUACAAUGUAUGUAUUACUUUUAAUACCUGCAAAUGACAAAUAAACUACUGGAACUCCUUAUGAAUGUCUGCAGCCGACAAGAGGUGAAAAUAUUACCGGAAUAUUCAGCAAAAUGUUGAUGAAGACGUCACUCAAUCCACCCAAAACAACAUGCAGUCUUUCCACAAG
This 2245-nucleotide long non-coding RNA is filed under the name Salmo salar (Atlantic salmon). Its description in RNAcentral is "lncRNA (ENSSSAG00000097100.1)". The record is from RNAcentral. Lineage: Eukaryota; Metazoa; Chordata; Actinopteri; Salmoniformes; Salmonidae.